RNAcentral lists this long non-coding RNA (753 nucleotides) under Lathyrus oleraceus (garden pea). Its description in RNAcentral is "Pisum sativum (pea) long non-coding RNA (PSAT_LNC002968)". The record is from RNAcentral. Lineage: Eukaryota; Viridiplantae; Streptophyta; Magnoliopsida; Fabales; Fabaceae.
AAUGUCCUACUAUUCCCUUAAUAACUCACUCUUUUUCUCAACUCAACCCUUUAUAUCUUUUUUUUUCUCACUAAUAUCAUUCCCCAAUUCCUUUUGCUUUGUCUUCCCCUUUCUCUAUCUCAAAUUCUUGUGUGUCUUCAUCUUCUUUCUUUACCUAAUUUGUUUUGCAUUGUUGCUAUUCCUCCAAACUACUAUUUGCUUAUUUUUGCAUCUAUAUUGGUACAAUGAGAUUAUCCAAGUUGUUGAUAUUGAUAGUUCUUUUGUGCGUUUUGUUCUCUUCUUUCGUUGGUUCCAACAUGAUUGUAAGAAAAGCCAUGCUUGUUAGCAAUUUCUUUGAUGGGGCGAAGAAGUUCGACAAGACAAGUGAUCAUAAACUUCAUGUUCAUCACAAGUGCAACACUAACGAGAGAUACAAAUUUGGCCAUUACUUGCCAUGCUAUAAGAAGAACACUCACUUAGAUGACAAGAGACUUGUUCCUACAGGGCCAAAUCCAUUACACAAUAGGUAGAAACAAGAGUACUCAUUGGCUUUAUUUGUAGAAGGAGAUCAUAUAUAACAUGAUGUAGUUAGUUUCUAUCUUUUUAUUUUCAUUGUAUUUUAGGAGAAAUGUAAUUAUACACUUUCUUCUAAAUUAGUUUUCAAUUUGAAAAUUUGCCACUUCAUGAUUGAUUCUCUUUUUUAUUAUGUGACUUGUUAUAUUUCAUUGAGAAUACUUUUUAUAUAUCGUCGUCAAUUAUAAGCAUUAAUCAUUA